GGCGCAACUCUUUCCUCAGCAGGCGCCGCUGACUGCAAGAACCGCCUCCUUGACCGCUCCCUCGACGCACUUGGGUCAUUAUCCCGGGGUAAAGGAGCAGACCAGCCGGUGUCAGCCCCCCUUGUCACAGGACCUCUCUCACGCCGGGCCACACUCCUGCCUGGAACAUCAGCAGGAGCCCCGGCCACCAUCUCCUCACCUCUGCCAUUCUGAAGAACCAGAGGAGGGACGCGGAAGUAAGCCCUCCCCCUGGCCGGACCCCGACCGCUGAGGAUCAGAAUCAGCUGACAUAGUGAGCAGCCAUCUGGGCAUCAAGUUCUGCAGAGAGAAGAUUUAGCUGGAACAAAUCCUGGCGAGAAGACUCUGGAUCCGCCCCUGCUUUGGGGUCAUUUUUGCUUGUGUGGGGGCGUACAUUAUGUUACGUGAAGAGGAUGAUGGGAGCUGAGACUCCAUAACCAGGAAGUGCUGCUAUUUUCACAGUGGCAUAGCAUACAAACGGGAUGGGGCAGACAUAUAAUGAAAAGUGCGGUGGCAUCAUGGA
Molecule: long non-coding RNA, 541 nt
Organism: Hyla sarda
Lineage: Eukaryota; Metazoa; Chordata; Amphibia; Anura; Hylidae
Exons: 3
Source: RefSeq, a predicted model, not a curated record